Molecule: long non-coding RNA, 2327 nt
Organism: Drosophila montana
Lineage: Eukaryota; Metazoa; Arthropoda; Insecta; Diptera; Drosophilidae
Exons: 3
Source: RefSeq, a predicted model, not a curated record
UGUGCUCUAGUGCCCGGAACCGUGCAACGCGUGCAGUCUUUCUUAAAGACUUAGCCCGAUUGCAUAAACAACUUGGGCCCAACAAUGGCUUUAUCUAACCACAUAUGGUUAGAUUGGUAUGCAGGUUGAAUAUAUUGUUUUUAAUAUGCAGUAUCAAUAGAAGUGCUGGGUGGAAUACCAGGAAGUGGAGUUGCAGGUCCAGCUGUGUGAGCUGGUUGCAUAGUUGCGCCACGGACGUACAGCAAAAUGAUGUUGUUAAAGUGCAAAUGGUAAGUGGCAGCAUCAUGAUGUUGCCUUUAGGGAGACGAAUGCUGCACGAGGAGCGCGGACUCUCAGCAAAACAUUGCCUUUUGUUUAACGGCUGCAUUAAACUAAAAAUAACUCUUUCUAAGUAUGACACCGACUUGUCGAUGCUCUAUUCCAGCUUAUGAUUUAUCGGUUGUACGACAAUAAAACACGUAUUCAACUUAGUUAGAGGUUCAAUUCCAAUGGAAACAAGCCCUAAACAAAAAUGUGCAAAGCUGUUUAUACAAAAUUAUGACCAACCCUUCUCAAAUGAAGGGUAUGCGGACGUCCACAUAGACAACCCGUAAUCAAAAUCACGCACGCAUACAAACCACACACACACACACACACACAUGAGAAACUAAACAGCAUCCGUUGGGGUAGGUGGUGGGCUUUGAGCGAAAGAGUAUCAGGAACGGCGACAGCGAUGUCGGUGGCAACAGCGCGCGGCAUUAAGCACGUCGGCAACAUAAAUAUUUUAAUUUUGCUAAAAAUUUGUGCUGAAAAGUCGCUUUUUUGUAUUAGGAAGUGCGAGGCGAAGACACAAACAUGCACACACACAUACACACACGCGCGCGGAGCAUUAACUAAACAAAAUGGCGUCGACGAAAGGAUGCGCAACGCAGCGCAGCGUUCGUAAUUGUUGUUGUUGCUGCUGUGGUUGCUGCCUGCCAGGGCGGUGCUGGUAAUGAUAAGCGUUGUUAGUGUUUUACUUUAAUAGGCAAAAUUAUGUGCACACGGACACAGACACAGACACAUAGACACGCAUGUAGACACUAGCACACUCUCAUACAAAGGCUUUGACUCAAACACGGCUCAAAGGCAUAAAUUAUUGCGGUUAACAGACAACACAGCAGAGGACAUAGCGGUAGCAGCAGUGGGAGCAGUAGCAGCAGCAGCUUCCGUUGCAGGAACUGAAUCUCUCGCCGUGGACGGAAAUGCCGCUGGCUGCGCUGUGCCGAGCUUUAACCAAAUUAAAAUAGUGUCGGCCUGGCCUAAAUGCAGCUUCCUCGUGCCAUUUCCAGCAAUAUAAUGAGUCAAAUUUAACUUAACCAUUGCAACGAGUAUUCUCCUUUGGCCACGAAUGGUGCUACGCAUUCAAGAUCUUUGAAAAUCAUAGUGAAGCCUAUCCAAUGUUGCGCGAAAAAGUUUCAAAUUUUCCGCCAAAUAUCCAUUAGGUCAGUAUAAAAACCUACCUUUUGUUCUAUGAUUCGCAGGGCAUAACAUAUAAAACCGCAAUUGUUUUUAUUUUAUAAUUUAUUUAUUUUUUAUGUUUCCCUAUGCUAUAUAAUCCCCCUGCCGUGUAUAAUUUACUGAUUUCACAAUUGUUUCUUUUCCGGUCGCACACACAUCCCGAUAUUGUCCGUUCCAGCAUUUCGGGAAACAUGCAUUAAGAAGAUGGUAAUAUCAUUUUUUUUUUGGACGAGUUUCCAGAGCCUGCCAUUGAUGUUGCGAUGUGAGGAUGUUUGCCAUAUGUAUGUGAUAUGUAUGCCAUAUGCAUUAAUAGUAUGAAAACUAUUGUUUCUGCAAAUAUCUUGACCAAAUUAAUUAUUGGAAUGUAGCUGCCGCCAAUUAUGAUUGCCGCUAAUUAAAAGGAAAAAUAACAUAUGAGGUAAUCCAAAAUUAUUAUAUUGUACUGUUAGAUAUAAUUACAGAGUAAUACGAACUGGUAAUUUGCGAGUAUAUUACUGAUGUCUUGUAUAAGAGGUUGCCCUUUAUGUUUCGAUAUUCUUUCCAAUAACUUAGAUUCUAGAAAUUUGAAGUUAUAAGCAGGUUCCAUUGCAUCUGUUUAUUGAAGCGAAGCACGUCUUUGUGCAGUCACCUUAAAUACGGCAUACAAAAUUCCGAUGCUGACGGCAAGUAUUAUUAGAAUUUUAAGCGCACAGCCUAAAAUGGAGGAAUCGUGCCCAUGAAGCGACAUCGGACAGAAAUCGUAAUGAUGCGAAUAGUGCACAUCAUGACAGUGAUCUCCAGAGAACAUAUGCCUCCAUGCCCUCUGUGGUAGUUCCAAUAGUACAUAAAUUCUGGAUUUUUGCCGAAAA